Molecule: long non-coding RNA, 1196 nt
Filed under: Sparus aurata (gilthead seabream)
Lineage: Eukaryota; Metazoa; Chordata; Actinopteri; Spariformes; Sparidae
Description: lncRNA (ENSSAUG00010022925.1)
Source: RNAcentral
GGUCACUGUACGUCUCGUUGAAAGAAGCGCAUUAAGGAAAGACAAACGAGGGAGGCAGAAUAACGGUGCUUCAAAACACGAAUGGAUCGAGAGGAAAUUCUUUAAAUACAUCAAUGAGAAGGACGGAUAAGAAUGAAUAGAAGGGAGAUAUUUCAGGCUUUUUAUUUUAAAGAAGCACAAAUGCGGCUCAGGCAGGCCAAGACAGACCCCAGCCCCAAUGUCAGCAGCCCUGGCAGCUCUGAACCUGGAGCUAGCCAGGCACAAGUGUGGUCAGACACAAGGACCCAGUCCACCAGCACCAGACAUGUCAAGAUCUGGAGAGGAGGGUCCUGUUCAGCUGUGUCUGAAAAUGUCUCCAAGAACUCAGCAUGGAACAAGGAAGAAGGCAUUCAACAAUUCUCGAUCUUUGAGUCAGAUGUAGAAGACCUAACACAUGAGGUUUACCAAACCAGAUGGCUUCUCCAGGGAAGAGAGACACGUGUAGUAGACGGACCAUUUACUAGGUUGUGUUUCUUGAACCUUAUAAAGAGGUCUGCCACAAGCUAUUUAGACUUUGUAAGAUUUGUAAGAUGUAAGAUUUCUGUUGUUAUUCCAGUCAGUACUGCAUUCUGUGAGAGACUUUUCUCUGCUCUCAAACUGAUUAAAAACCACCUCAGGACAACAAUGGUUGAUGCCAGGAUAAGUCACCCUGGCUCUCUCAGUAUUGAGUCGCGAGGGCACAUAACCUCAAUAUGGAUGACUUGGUAAAACAUUUUGCCAUUUCUCACCAGAACAGAAGAAUAAUUUGCCACUGGUGGUGCUUAUGUUCAUGAUCUUACUCUGCACUAUGUGCUGUUCAUACUUGAUGUAAACAUUUAUGUAAAAUGAUCUGGUUUCUGUUUAUAAUUCUUUUGUUUGUUAAAUAAACUCUCAAGUAUUUCACUGACUAAUCUCCUGUUUGCUUGAGCUUUACUUGCUGAAAAGAUUUCCACUUCAGGGUUUCCUCCAGGAUUUUUCUAAACCGUGGGGAAGGUCUGCCCGAGUGGAAGAGGGGUGGUGACGACGACGACGGCAACAUGAAUUUUGAAAUGUGAAAUUAUGACUAUUUCAAACUGAAUGUUUUUCUAAAUACAUUAUUUACUAUAGGGUUUCCGGUACAUGGCUUGAAAAUAAUAAUUGCAAAUAGGAUCUUGCAGUAUCACUAGGCCAAAACAACA